CCUACGGGAGGCAGCAGUGAGGAAUAUUGGUCAAUGGACGAGAGUCUGAACCAGCCAAGUAGCGUGAAGGAUGACUGCCCUAUGGGUUGUAAACUUCUUUUAUAUGGGAAUAAAACGUUCCACGUGUGGGAUUUUGUAUGUACCAUAUGAAUAAGGAUCGGCUAACUCCGUGCCAGCAGCCGCGGUAAUACGGAGGAUCCGAGCGUUAUCCGGAUUUAUUGGGUUUAAAGGGAGCGUAGGUGGAUUGUUAAGUCAGUUGUGAAAGUUUGCGGCUCAACCGUAAAAUUGCAGUUGAAACUGGCAGUCUUGAGUACAGUAGAGGUGGGCGGAAUUCGUGGUGUAGCGGUGAAAUGCUUAGAUAUCACGAAGAACUCCGAUUGCGAAGGCAGUUCACUGGACUGCAACUGACACUGAGGCUCGAAAGUGUGGGUAUCAAACAGGAUUAGAUACCCUUGUAGUA
RNAcentral lists this ribosomal RNA (460 nucleotides) under uncultured bacterium. Its description in RNAcentral is "partial 16S ribosomal RNA". It matches the Rfam family "Bacterial small subunit ribosomal RNA", at positions 338 to 795 of the family's 1533-position model. The record is from RNAcentral.